AUAAUGGGUCAGCGACUUAUAUUCUGUAGCAAGGUUAACCGAAUAGGGGAGCCGAAGGGAAACCGAGUCUUAACUGGGCGUUAAGUUGCAGGGUAUAGACCCGAAACCCGGUGAUCUAGCCAUGGGCAGGUUGAAGGUUGGGUAACACUAACUGGAGGACCGAACCGACUAAUGUUGAAAAAUUAGCGGAUGACUUGUGGCUGGGGGUGAAAGGCCAAUCAAACCGGGAGAUAGCUGGUUCUCCCCGAAAGCUAUUUAGGUAGCGCCUCGUGAAUUCAUCUCCGGGGGUAGAGCACUGUUUCGGCAAGGGGGUCAUCCCGACUUACCAACCCGAUGCAAACUGCGAAUACCGGAGAAUGUUAUCACGGGAGACACACGGCGGGUGCUAACGUCCGUCGUGAAGAGGGAAACAACCCAGACCGCCAGCUAAGGUCCCAAAGUCAUGGUUAAGUGGGAAACGAUGUGGGAAGGCCCAGACAGCCAGGAUGUUGGCUUAGAAGCAGCCAUCAUUUAAAGAAAGCGUAAUAGCUCACUGGUCGAGUCGGCCUGCGCGGAAGAUGUAACGGGGCUAAACCAUGCACCGAAGCUGCGGCAGCGACGCUUAUGCGUUGUUGGGUAGGGGAGCGUUCUGUAAGCCUGCGA
Molecule: ribosomal RNA, 642 nt
Filed under: Escherichia coli
Lineage: Bacteria; Pseudomonadati; Pseudomonadota; Gammaproteobacteria; Enterobacterales; Enterobacteriaceae
Description: partial 23S ribosomal RNA
Rfam family: Bacterial large subunit ribosomal RNA
Source: RNAcentral